GUAAAUAUAAUUUAAUAAAAAUUCUAGUUUGUGAAACUAGCAAUAGGAGACUUAAUCUUCUUAUUUACC
Molecule: transfer RNA, 69 nt
Filed under: Mesoplodon grayi (Gray's beaked whale)
Lineage: Eukaryota; Metazoa; Chordata; Mammalia; Artiodactyla; Ziphiidae
Description: tRNA-His
Source: RNAcentral